This 76-nucleotide transfer RNA is filed under the name Bacteroidales bacterium. RNAcentral's name for it is "tRNA-Gly". It matches the Rfam family "tRNA". Rfam says of the family: Transfer RNA (tRNA) molecules are approximately 80 nucleotides in length. Their secondary structure includes four short double-helical elements and three loops (D, anti-codon, and T loops). Further hydrogen bonds mediate the characteristic L-shaped molecular structure. tRNAs have two regions of fundamental functional importance: the anti-codon, which is responsible for specific mRNA codon recognition, and the 3' end, to which the tRNAs corresponding amino acid is attached (by aminoacyl-tRNA synthetases). tRNAs cope with the degeneracy of the genetic code in two manners: having more than one tRNA (with a specific anti-codon) for a particular amino acid; and 'wobble' base-pairing, i.e. permitting non-standard base-pairing at the 3rd anti-codon position. RNAcentral also lists the same sequence under 1 other name. The record is from RNAcentral. Lineage: Bacteria; Pseudomonadati; Bacteroidota; Bacteroidia; Bacteroidales.
GCGGGCUUAGCUCAGUUGGUAGAGCGUCAGCUUCCCAAGCUGAAUGUCGUCGGUUCGAACCCGAUAGCCCGCUCCA